GACGAACGCUGGCGGCGUGCCUAAUACAUGCAAGUAGAACGCUGAAGGAGGAGCUUGCUUCUCCGGAUGAGUUGCGAACGGGUGAGUAACGCGUAGGUAACCUGCCUGGUAGCGGGGGAUAACUAUUGGAAACGAUAGCUAAUACCGCAUAAGAGUAGAUGUUGCAUGACAUUUGCUUAAAAGGUGCAAUUGCAUCACUACCAGAUGGACCUGCGUUGUAUUAGCUAGUUGGUGGGGUAACGGCUCACCAAGGCGACGAUACAUAGCCGACCUGAGAGGGUGAUCGGCCACACUGGGACUGAGACACGGCCCAGACUCCUACGGGAGGCAGCAGUAGGGAAUCUUCGGCAAUGGACGGAAGUCUGACCGAGCAACGCCGCGUGAGUGAAGAAGGUUUUCGGAUCGA
Molecule: ribosomal RNA, 406 nt
Filed under: Streptococcus mitis
Lineage: Bacteria; Bacillati; Bacillota; Bacilli; Lactobacillales; Streptococcaceae
Description: bacterial SSU rRNA
Rfam family: Bacterial small subunit ribosomal RNA
Source: RNAcentral